RNAcentral lists this long non-coding RNA (288 nucleotides) under Gossypium raimondii (Peruvian cotton). RNAcentral's name for it is "long non-coding RNA (GRAI_LNC000883)". Lineage: Eukaryota; Viridiplantae; Streptophyta; Magnoliopsida; Malvales; Malvaceae. The record is from RNAcentral.
GGGCCCAUUCAGAAUAAGUAGAAAAACCAAGAAAAAUAAUAAAUAAAAUUCAGUCCAAAAACAGUCCAUUUACAAUUGUCCUAGAUCAAUUUACCAAAAAAAAUACAGACUCUAACCCCAAAAUAUACCAAGACCCAAAAUACAAACAGUCCAUUUAUAAAUGGCCCAAUACAAACCCAAACUCUAUCUUAAACACCUAAUGGCCCAACUCAGCCCAAACCCCAACCUAAUGGUUGAAACCCUAGCAGCGAGCAAGCCCCAGCGCCGCAAUAGCCCCAACUCCUCCGC